UACGAAGGGGGCGAGCGUUGUUCGGAAUUACUGGGCGUAAAGCGCACGCAGGUGGAUUGAUAAGUCUGGGGUGAAAUCCCGGGGCUCAACCUCGGAAUUGCAUUUGAUACUGUCUAUCUUGAGGCCGGGAGAGGUGAGUGGAAUUCCUAGUGUAGAGGUGAAAUUCGUAGAUAUUAGGAAGAACACCAGUGGCGAAGGCGGCUCACUGGCACGGUACUGACGCUCAGGUGCGAAAGCGUGGGGAGCAAACAGG
This 253-nucleotide ribosomal RNA is filed under the name uncultured bacterium. RNAcentral's name for it is "partial 16S ribosomal RNA". It matches the Rfam family "Bacterial small subunit ribosomal RNA", at positions 524 to 776 of the family's 1533-position model. The record is from RNAcentral.